Molecule: transfer RNA, 67 nt
Filed under: Bavayia sp. goroensis
Lineage: Eukaryota; Metazoa; Chordata; Lepidosauria; Squamata; Diplodactylidae
Description: partial tRNA-Tyr
Source: RNAcentral
GGGUAGAGUGGCCGACAGUAAGUGGCAAGCUGUAGUCCUGCWGACAUAGGGAUYAGUCCUGUUUCUA